UACGAAGGGUGCAAGCGUUAUCCGGAUUCAUUGGGUUUAAAGGGCUCGUAGGCGGCCAACUAAGUCAGACGUGAAAUCCCUCGGCUUAACCGGGGAACUGCGUCUGAUACUGGCAGGCUUGAAUCCGGGAGAGGGAUGCGGAAUUCCAGGUGUAGCGGUGAAAUGCGUAGAUAUCUGGAGGAACACCGGUGGCGAAGGCGGCAUCCUGGACCGGCAUUGACGCUGAGGCGCGAAAGCCAGGGGAGCAAACGGG
Molecule: ribosomal RNA, 253 nt
Filed under: uncultured bacterium
Lineage: Bacteria
Description: partial 16S ribosomal RNA
Rfam family: Bacterial small subunit ribosomal RNA
Source: RNAcentral